CCUACGGGGGGCUGCAGUGGGGAAUAUUGGACAAUGGGGGCAACCCUGAUCCAGCCAUGCCGCGUGUGUGAAGAAGGCCCUCGGGUUGUAAAGCACUUUCAGUGAGGAAGAACGCCUGGUGGUUAAUACCCAUCAGGAAAGACAUCACUCACAGAAGAAGCACCGGCUAACUCCGUGCCAGCAGCCGCGGUAAUACGGAGGGUGCGAGCGUUAAUCGGAAUUGCUGGGCGUAAAGCGCGCGUAGGUGGCUUGAUAAGCCGGUUGUGAAAGCCCCGGGCUCAACCUGGGAACGGCAUCCGGAACUGUCAAGCUAGAGUGCAGGAGAGGAAGGUAGAAUUCCCGGUGUAGCGGUGAAAUGCGUAGAGAUCGGGAGGAAUACCAGUGGCGAAGGCGGCCUUCUGGACUGACACUGACACUGAGGUGCGAAAGCGUGGGUAGCAAACAGGAUUAGAUACCCUAGUAGUC
Molecule: ribosomal RNA, 465 nt
Filed under: Vreelandella stevensii
Lineage: Bacteria; Pseudomonadati; Pseudomonadota; Gammaproteobacteria; Oceanospirillales; Halomonadaceae
Description: partial 16S ribosomal RNA
Rfam family: Bacterial small subunit ribosomal RNA
Source: RNAcentral